Long non-coding RNA from Lycium ferocissimum, 485 nucleotides. RefSeq lists it as uncharacterized. The transcript is spliced from 2 exons. The record is from RefSeq and is a predicted model, not a curated record. NCBI's taxonomy places the organism in Eukaryota, Viridiplantae, Streptophyta, Magnoliopsida, Solanales, Solanaceae.
UGAUAAUUUUAACAUUUGAAAUUAACUUAAAAUGAAAACUCUCCAAAAUAAAAACAAAAAAGGAAUUUUAUUUUUUUUCCUCUAAGAAAAUAAUAUAACUCAGAUUUAUGCUUUCAAUUUUUCCUUAAGAGAACUCUUAAAGCAAAUGUCAUAUACCCGAUUCUCCCCUCAGAUAACCCUAGUCCUGACAAAAAAUUGAAGAUGCCGACGACGAUCCCCACCCAGAUGGAGAUUUUCCCCUGUUGUGUUGAAGAGCCCAAACGUCUUCUUGAGCAAAUUUCGCUCCUAACCUGGUCUUCUCUCUCGGCAAACAAACUUAGGGAAUAAGGUUCUUCAACAAAGGAGUUGAUGUUGGCCGAGGAGAAGUUCGAAGGCAUUUGAUUAUUUUUUUCAUGUGUAUACAUGAUUACAAUGUAUUACGGAGUGUUGUGUACUUUGUUACAUAAAUUAUUUGGCAAUGAAAAGUUCUUAUCUCAUUCUUUUUA